Molecule: long non-coding RNA, 1463 nt
Organism: Passer domesticus (house sparrow)
Lineage: Eukaryota; Metazoa; Chordata; Aves; Passeriformes; Passeridae
Exons: 6
Source: RefSeq, a predicted model, not a curated record
CAUCCCUCAUUAUUCACUGUGACUGCACAUUUUGUGUAGAAGUAAUGCAGCUUCAUUCUCCCCUCAUGGUCUGCUGUGGAAAUGAAGAACAGUCUCCUGUGAUGCAAGACCAUCUGCAAAAUCAGUCCAGAGGAAUUGCAUCUUCUGGAAAAGCAGAGACUGAAUCUGGAGCUCUGCUGGAAUCCACAUGAGGAAAGCAUCCCUUCACACAACAGCGUAUUUCAGCCCUUUUCUUCAGACUCUCUAAUUUGAAAGCACCCUUCUGUGCUCCCCUCUGCAGUGAACAGGGAUCUGAGAACUGCACUAAGGGUUGUCCUGCAGAAGAGGUGCACCCACUGGCACAGAUCCUUACUACUGCUUAUAUUUCCCAUUUCCUGGGCCUGAUCUGAAGGAUGCUGCUAUUUGCCUUUCCCUCCUUCAGUACCCCAUAUGGUUUUCCACAAAGCACAAGGAAUCAUCAAAUGUAGGAGAGAACAGGAAGUGGAGCACCAGGUUCUGAGUUUCCUGACCUUUAUGAGACUGGAAAAGCAGAAUAAGCUACAGAUUAUGCUGAAUAUAACUGAGUGGAGGAGCACAGAGUCCAGCUUUUGAGGAGAGGCAGUUCUGGAGACGAGAUGUCACCACUCUGUACAACAUCAGUACUGCAGCAGGAAGUCUCUUGCAACACAGAGAGAGCAAGUGUUAGGUUUUGACAUUUGUGUGACUAUAAGAUUUCACCUUACAGAAAUAGUGAUGCAUCUGUAGAGCUUGUCGAUGGUAAAUGCUUACAAAUGGGCAGAGUAUGAAACAAACAACAGAGAAAAGACACUAUCUCUUUUAUAAAUUCCAUCUCCAUUGCUGGAGUUCACUGGAGAGGAACAAGCACAUAGAACAUGAGCUAUUUAAUAAACCACCAUGGAGAUCUCCCCACCAGGGAACAGAGCAAGGAAAGAUACACACACAAAACAGAUAUUAGCCCUGUUCUUUGCUCACGGCAAAUAUCUGAUGCUGCCAUAAUGGACACACUAACAGGACAGAAACAGACAUCCUGCUGUGGAAAACAGCACAAGUCUCAAAACCAUCAGCAACCCAAAAGCGCCCCCAUGACCUUUUUGAGAGAUUAAAAAGAAAAAUACAUACAUAAGCAGCCUCUAUUUUCCCUGUGGAUGUCAUAGGCUUCCCUCUAGGAAACGAUGUGCGUUCUUCACCCACUCACAGAUGCUUCACCUCUAGCUGUCUCUGAACUGCUCCCCUGCAUUAGUGGAAUGGAACAAGGCACCAACUGAUGGGAGACUACUACCCAAGCUCAUUGCUAGUUUUGCUGACUCAAUUGUUUUGUCGCCUUCGUCAAUGCUGCAGGCCACUGGUAGUUACUGUUUUUGUGCGCCGCUAAUGCCAUGACUUGUUUCCUUUGUCCCCCUUCCUCUUUCCCUGAAGUUACCCGGAUGGACACACACCACUUCUACAUGCUUUGUAGCACUGAU